RNAcentral lists this ribosomal RNA (440 nucleotides) under uncultured bacterium. RNAcentral describes it as "partial 16S ribosomal RNA". It matches the Rfam family "Bacterial small subunit ribosomal RNA", at positions 338 to 795 of the family's 1533-position model. The record is from RNAcentral.
CCUACGGGGGUCAGCAGUGGGGAAUAUUGCACAAUGUGGGAAACCCUGAUGCAGCGACGCCGCGUGAAGGAAGAAGUAUUUCGGUAUGUAAACUUCUAUCAGCAGGGAAGAAAAUGACGGUACCUGACUAAGAAGCCCCGGCUAACUACGUGCCAGCAGCCGCGGUAAUACGUAGGGGGCAAGCGUUAUCCGGAUUUACUGGGUGUAAAGGGAGCGUAGGCGGUUGAGCAAGUCAGAAGUGAAAGCCCGGGGCUCAACUCCGGGACUGCUUUUGAAACUGUACGGCUGGAGUGCAGGAGAGGUAAGUGGAAUUCCUAGUGUAGCGGUGAAAUGCGUAGAUAUUAGGAGGAACACCAGUGGCGAAGGCGGCUUACUGGACUGUAACUGACGUUGAGGCUCGAAAGCGUGGGGAGCAAACAGGAUUAGAUACCCCAGUAGUC